UACGAGAUCGGCUGGGACCCGCUUCACC
This 28-nucleotide small RNA is filed under the name Bombyx mori (domestic silkworm). RNAcentral describes it as "ovarian small RNA-20990". The record is from RNAcentral. Lineage: Eukaryota; Metazoa; Arthropoda; Insecta; Lepidoptera; Bombycidae.